CCGGCACGGGUGAGUAACACGUAUCCAACCUGCCGUCUACUCUUGGGCAGCCUUCUGAAAGGAAGAUUAAUACAAGAUGGCAUCAUGAGUCCACAUGUUCACAUGAUUAAAGGUAUUCCGGUAGACGAUGGGGAUGCGUUCCAUUAGAUAGUAGGCGGGGUAACGGCCCACCUAGUCUUCGAUGGAUAGGGGUUCUGAGGGGAAGGUCCCCCACAUUGGAACUGAGACACGGUCCAA
RNAcentral lists this ribosomal RNA (237 nucleotides) under uncultured bacterium. Its description in RNAcentral is "partial 16S ribosomal RNA". It matches the Rfam family "Bacterial small subunit ribosomal RNA", at positions 100 to 334 of the family's 1533-position model. The record is from RNAcentral.